This 297-nucleotide ribosomal RNA is filed under the name Triticum aestivum (bread wheat). Its description in RNAcentral is "partial small subunit ribosomal RNA". Lineage: Eukaryota; Viridiplantae; Streptophyta; Magnoliopsida; Poales; Poaceae. The record is from RNAcentral.
AUGCACAUUGUGCUCGCUCGCGUGCUUCGCCAUGGCGUGCUCGCCUUGGAUGACAUCCUUGUUCACACAAAAGAAUUGGAGGCUCACAAAAAGUUGCUGCGACAAGUUCUCGGGCUCCUACAUCAACAUGGGCUCAAAGCCAAAAUGUCCAAAUGCACCUUUGCGCAGCAAAAGAUCAGUUAUUUGGGCCAUAUCAUCAGUGACCAGGGAGUGGCCACAGACAGCACCAAUGUCCUGGUUGUACAGCAGUGGCCUGUUCCAACAAUACAAAAGAACUCAGGGGUUUCUUUGGUCUAG